AGUGAACGCUGGCGGCAGGCCUAACACAUGCAAGUCGAGCGGCAGCGCGUCCGACCACCCUCGGGUGGUCGGAUGGCGGCGAGCGGCGGACGGGUGAGGAAUGCAUCGGAAUCUGCCUCGUUGUGGGGGAUAACGUAGGGAAACUUACGCUAAUACCGCAUACGACCUACGGGUGAAAGUGGGGGACCUUCGGGCCUCACGCGAUGAGAUGAGCCGAUGCCGGAUUAGCUAGUUGGCGGGGUAAAGGCCCACCAAGGCGACGACCCGUAGCUGGUCUGAGAGGAUGAUCAGCCACACUGGAACUGAGACACGGUCCAGACUCCUACGGGAGGCAGCAGUGGGGAAUAUUGGACAAUGGGGGCAACCCUGAUCCAGCCAUGCCGCGUGUGUGAAGAAGGCCUCGG
Molecule: ribosomal RNA, 404 nt
Filed under: uncultured bacterium
Lineage: Bacteria
Description: bacterial SSU rRNA
Rfam family: Bacterial small subunit ribosomal RNA
Source: RNAcentral